CUCGCCAUAGUUCAAUGGAUAGAACACGGACCUCCUAAGUCUGAGAUGCAGGUUCGAUUCCUGCUGGCGAGG
This 72-nucleotide transfer RNA is filed under the name Azoarcus olearius. RNAcentral describes it as "tRNA-Arg". It matches the Rfam family "tRNA". Rfam says of the family: Transfer RNA (tRNA) molecules are approximately 80 nucleotides in length. Their secondary structure includes four short double-helical elements and three loops (D, anti-codon, and T loops). Further hydrogen bonds mediate the characteristic L-shaped molecular structure. tRNAs have two regions of fundamental functional importance: the anti-codon, which is responsible for specific mRNA codon recognition, and the 3' end, to which the tRNAs corresponding amino acid is attached (by aminoacyl-tRNA synthetases). tRNAs cope with the degeneracy of the genetic code in two manners: having more than one tRNA (with a specific anti-codon) for a particular amino acid; and 'wobble' base-pairing, i.e. permitting non-standard base-pairing at the 3rd anti-codon position. The record is from RNAcentral. Lineage: Bacteria; Pseudomonadati; Pseudomonadota; Betaproteobacteria; Rhodocyclales; Zoogloeaceae.